Homo sapiens (human) is the source of this 610-nucleotide long non-coding RNA. RefSeq lists it as uncharacterized. The record is from RefSeq and is a predicted model, not a curated record. The transcript has 2 exons. NCBI's taxonomy places the organism in Eukaryota, Metazoa, Chordata, Mammalia, Primates, Hominidae.
CUCAGUUUUCCUUCCGGCAAGAUAAACAAAUCGACACCGAUAAAUCUGAGUGGAAACAGGGCUGUCAAAUGUUAUCUUCCGGACUUGGGAUUAGAAACAAGGGGAAUGUCGCAGAAGUCAUUUGGCACCAGGAGGGCUGUGCAUGCCCUUGUCUCUCUGCCUCAUCCUUUGCUGCACUUUCCUCCAAUACCCUCUUAAAUUGCUUCAGCAGAUCUAACCUCUCCAGAGACCGGAGACAGGCACAAAGCUUUACGCCGGACACUGCCAGGCCCACGUCCGUGUGGGCGUUGAAUGGAUGCUACGUGAUGGCAGAAUGAGUCACUGAGAUUUAGGCGGAGAGUUUGGAGGAAGGUGCUAAUGAAAAGGGCUCUGGUGCUGCAGGAGACAUACGCAGGUCAGGAAUAAUGACGUCAGCCCGGAGCCAGUGUUUAAAAAUAGUGAAGCUCUUCUAUGAAUCAAAAUGAUUCUAUGGGGAAAAAACUAAACUGGUGAUGGAAGGUUAUAUUGCUUUGUAAAAGAAAAAGUAAUUUAUGCUCGACUUCAAGAAAAGCAAAAGUUACAAAUCAAAAUAAACUCAGAAGUGCUUGAAGUAGGCAGAAACUCAUCAAAA